RNAcentral lists this transfer RNA (71 nucleotides) under Camelus bactrianus (Bactrian camel). It matches the Rfam family "tRNA". From Rfam's summary of the family: Transfer RNA (tRNA) molecules are approximately 80 nucleotides in length. Their secondary structure includes four short double-helical elements and three loops (D, anti-codon, and T loops). RNAcentral also lists the same sequence under 2 other names. The record is from Rfam by way of RNAcentral. Lineage: Eukaryota; Metazoa; Chordata; Mammalia; Artiodactyla; Camelidae.
GAGGGUAUAGCUCAGUGGGAGAGUGUGUGCCUAGCAUGCAGAAUGUCCUGGGUUCAAUCCUCAGCACCUCA